AGGAGGAAGGGGACGCGUGACAUAUCGUUCACAUAAGCUCGGGUUCUGAUUUCAAGCAAGGAACCCCGCCGCUGCGCCCUCACAGACCUCUACGUUUGACAUUCCAAUCUCCAAAUGCCAAAAAGGAAAGAGAGAAAAGAGAAGGGGAAAAAUAGCAAAAGCCGCGACUGCUACCUAUUAUUUACUUAGUGACUUGGGCCCUCAGGACCUCGUUGGAGAACACGCAAGAGUGCACAGCCGCGUGCCCAAUUGCCAGCAAUUGUUCAAAAACCCAAGCUCGUCUCUCUUCGCUCUGCUCUCAGGCACAGUCAAAAUUGGUCAGGAGAGAAAGGGGGAGAGUGGAACAGGGGCUCUGAAGGAGAGAAAUGAAAGAAGGGAACGUCCUCAUCCUCCCUCUCCAGCUUCUCCCCUGCGCUCUUCGGGCGAAUCGGAGAGGCGGGCGCUGCGUUGGGGAAAGUUUGUCCCACCCGCAUUUCGCAGCUGGCUGCGAGGAGAGGAGGAGGAGCGGGAAGUACAGCUCGGAGCCUGCGGCCGCGAGGAUGACUGAGCCAAUGCCGCGCUUACCUCGCAGUCCUCGUACUUGAUGUUAUCCGUCAGUUUCCAAAGCAUUUUCAUGGAUCGGCGUGAAUGGAUUUGCCCCCUCUCCGCCUCGCACCCAAGUGGAGCUACUCUCUGGCCUAAUCGCCUCAUUAGCAUAUCAACAAUAGUCCAAUUGCUCGCCAGCACCACAAUCUGCCGCCGGCCGCUCCGACCCAGGUAUAAAGGCCUCUCCGAGCCGCGAACUUUCUCCUAGAGCGCGCUCCUGCCGGGGAGCCCACGAAAUCUCCCCUGAGUCCCGCCGCGCGCCCCUGCCCCGGCGCCCCCGCCCCCAUGCCACCCUGCUCCUCUCCUCCCCUUCUCCUCCUCGCCGGAGAUGCCCCGGCGAAAGGCCGGCGCUGCGCGGGGUCCGAGUGGCCGCGCCUGGGGCCCAGCUUUCGGCACCUCUCCCCCAUCCCUGCCUCCACCAGCGGCUCUGUCCUUUUCGGCCCCGUCCAAUUUUAUGAGAAAUUAUUAUCCCUUUCGCAAUUAAAUAUAACCACCAAACCAGGACCAGCGAAGUCGCUCCAGGAUUUUUGCCCAACGAGAGAUCGCCUCCGCUCCCGGCAGCCGACACCUCCGGCCGCAGCGUCCUGGGAGUUUUAUUGGCUUCGCGUUUACCAACCCCCCCCGCCCCCCCAGGCUGGAGAUUUUGCCAAACGGCUUCAGUCGCUCGGCUAGGGUUUGCGAUCCUUUAAUUGCCGCGUGUAAAAUAAAAAGUGUACCCUGAAGAGGUUACUUGACAGCUCCAGGGGUUGAAUGAUUUUCCUCGCAUUUGUAUGAAGCUAGGGCCAACUGAUAAUUCAGCGUGGUAUUUGGGCUAAGGACUUCCUAGGUGCGAUGUGGACAGGAAUACAGAACUCCUAUGGAGACUCACAAGCGCUUCUAGAGUUGAGCCGAAAUGCCGACAGUGUGCGCCGUGUCAUGCAUGCAUCAAAAUAAAUCGCUGGGAACCAACCCUUCGCUGUGCUAAUCUGCUCCAGUUUUCCCAAGAUUCCCCUUUUUAAUUAAAGCAGGGAGAGUUCCUUCAUGAUUUGGUGCUGUUACUAACGCGGGCGCGCUCGCGGCGCAGUGCCCGGCUGGCGCGGAACCGGGAGGCCCGGGAGCCACCCCCUCGUCCAGGUCCGCCAGUCUCGGCUCUCCCGCUCCACACAGGGGCCUGCUCGCCCCACCC
Molecule: long non-coding RNA, 1750 nt
Organism: Hippopotamus amphibius kiboko
Lineage: Eukaryota; Metazoa; Chordata; Mammalia; Artiodactyla; Hippopotamidae
Exons: 3
Source: RefSeq, a predicted model, not a curated record